UACAGAGGGUGCGAGCGUUGUCCGGAAUCACUGGGCGUAAAGGGCGCGUAGGCGGCUUGAUAAGCGUGCGGUGAAAGCCCGGGCUCAACCCCGGGUCGGCCGUGCGAACUGUCGAGCUGGAGCACUGUAGAGGCAGGUGGAAUUCCGGGUGUAGCGGUGGAAUGCGUAGAGAUCCGGAAGAACACCGGUGGCGAAGGCGGCCUGCUGGGCAGUGGCUGACGCUGGAGACGCGAAAGCGUGGGGAGCAAACAGG
RNAcentral lists this ribosomal RNA (253 nucleotides) under uncultured bacterium. RNAcentral describes it as "partial 16S ribosomal RNA". It matches the Rfam family "Bacterial small subunit ribosomal RNA", at positions 524 to 776 of the family's 1533-position model. The record is from RNAcentral.